CGGCAACAGCUCAAAUUUGAAAUCUGCCCGCAAGGGCCGAGUUGUAAUUUGUAGAGGAUGUUUUUGGUGAGGUGCCUUCCGAGUUCCCUGGAACGGGACGCCAUAGAGGGUGAGAGCCCCGUCUGGUCGGACACCGAGCCUCUGUAAAGCUCCUUCGAC
This 159-nucleotide ribosomal RNA is filed under the name Paramyrothecium sp. RNAcentral's name for it is "partial large subunit ribosomal RNA". It matches the Rfam family "Eukaryotic large subunit ribosomal RNA", at positions 99 to 261 of the family's 3401-position model. The record is from RNAcentral. Lineage: Eukaryota; Fungi; Ascomycota; Sordariomycetes; Hypocreales; Stachybotryaceae.